RNAcentral lists this long non-coding RNA (1148 nucleotides) under Homo sapiens (human). RNAcentral describes it as "HSALNT0367905". Lineage: Eukaryota; Metazoa; Chordata; Mammalia; Primates; Hominidae. The record is from RNAcentral.
AAAGCCCCGCCUCCUGCGCUUCCCCACAAGCCCCCGCGGCCUCGCCCCGCCCCCUUUAGCCUGGGCUUGAGCGCGCGCAGAAGUCAGCUUCGUGACUUCCUUCUCAGGAUGGAACCAGCUUGGUGGCUUGAGGCUUAGCUAAGGGAGCAGAAGACUAACCGUGGUCACUACACAGGCUCUCAAAAUCCUUGCAGCAGUUCCCAAACUCUUGGCAGCGGGCAUUGCAGUGACAUUGGUGGUGCUUGUCAAAGGCUUCGUAGCAGCGGCCCUGGCAGGAGGAAAGGGGUUCUGAGUUGCAAAUCAGAAACUUGAAGAUGAAAUGGCUACUACGCUGGGUAUUGCCUUUAUCUUGAAUGCCAGCCUGAUGGUCCAAGGUGAACAAGCCUUCCUGUGUUUUCUGAAUGGUAAGAAAAAGUGGGGACACAAGGACAGCAGAAAAGGCAUAGGCUCUGAUUCCGGCUGAUCUCGGCCUGGGUCUCCCUGCCUGGGGAAGGAGGUGUAUGUGUGUGUGCUAAUAUAUAUGUGGUGCUAAUGUAUAAUACAUAUGCUUAUAUGGUGAUAUGGUUUGGCUGUGUCCCCCCUCAAAUCUCAUCUUGAAUGGUAGCUCACAUAAUUCCCAUGUGUCACGGGAGGGACCUGGUGAGAGGUAACUGAAUCAUGGGGACGGGUUUUUCCUGUGCUGGUUCUCGUGAUAGUGAAUAAGUCUCACGAUAUCUUAUGGUUUUAUAAAGUGCAGUUCCCCCGCACUUUGCCUGCCACCAUGUAAGAUGUGUCUUUGCGCCUCCUUUGCCUUCCACCAUGAUUGUGCGGCCUCCCCAGCCAUGUGGAACGGUGUCUGGGGUCUGUCAGGAUCAACAGGCCUUGAGAGAGACUGACCCAGAGGACUACUAAAAGGGACACCUGCCCAGGCCAGCCUAUUCUACCAUCCUCGUUCUCCUGCAAAACCAAGGCCACGUCAUUUCAGCAGAGGACCUGCGUGUGGAAGGACCCUGCAGCUGGCCCAUCACAGGAGAGGCCCAGACUCACCUCCCAAGGGGACCCUGGCACAUGAAGAUGCUGGUUCUCCUGGGAGUGCUGCCCUGGCCCACAGGAUAGAAGCGCAGGAUGGUCACCCAUGUCUGCUCUUAUUGAAUGUGUCUUAGAAGCGG